Molecule: long non-coding RNA, 607 nt
Filed under: Cricetulus griseus (Chinese hamster)
Lineage: Eukaryota; Metazoa; Chordata; Mammalia; Rodentia; Cricetidae
Description: lncRNA (ENSCGRG00015035723.1)
Source: RNAcentral
GUCUGGGUCUGCAGGACAAGGCUGACCUACACUGCAGGACGUUGGUGAGGUCAUUUGAACCUCCCUUGCUAGUUUUGCCUUAUAUGUGAUAAUUUGGGAGUGAGUGCUUGCCUUUAAUCCCUGGAGUCUGUCAAGUGUUGAGUUUUAAGGGGGUGGAUAAUAUAAACACCGAGGAUUAGGCGAGAACAGUUUGAGGAGGAGCUGAGAGAAGACUAGAGAAUGCCAACAUCUCUGCAGAUGACAGAGCCUUUGCUUGUCGAGCUGUCCCUAACCAGUCCCGGCACUGCUAGUCAGGCUUCAAGCUUUGGACUCUAACAAGCAGGAGACUGCCUUCAUGUCAAUGCCACCCUUGAUAGUGCAUCAAGACGUCAAUUGCAGUGACAUGAACAUCAGCCCUCAGAACGGACUGGGAACUUGAUGAACAGAGGGUUCGACUUCACAACUUGGAAAGGGCAUACACUUCAGUGUUUCAAGCAGUGAUGGAGAUUCCGGAUACCUGCCUGAGAGCAAUUAACAUUCAUUCCUCCCCCCACCUCCUUUUUCUCUGCUUCCUCCUUUCUCUAUAAAAACCCCUUGUAAUAAUCAAUAAAGGAGACCUUGACAAAGA